AAAAUGACUCUCGGCAACGGAUAUCUCGGCUCUCGCAUCGAUGAAGAACGUAGCGAAAUGCGAUACUUGGUGUGAAUUGCAGAAUCCCGUGAACCAUCGAGUCUUUGAACGCAAGUUGCGCCCUAAGCCAUUAGGCUGAGGGCACGUCUGCCUGGGUGUCACGC
RNAcentral lists this ribosomal RNA (164 nucleotides) under Aglaia spectabilis. RNAcentral's name for it is "5.8S ribosomal RNA". It matches the Rfam family "5.8S ribosomal RNA". Rfam says of the family: 5.8S ribosomal RNA (5.8S rRNA) is a component of the large subunit of the eukaryotic ribosome. It is transcribed by RNA polymerase I as part of the 45S precursor that also contains 18S and 28S rRNA. Lineage: Eukaryota; Viridiplantae; Streptophyta; Magnoliopsida; Sapindales; Meliaceae. The record is from RNAcentral.